Molecule: ribosomal RNA, 143 nt
Filed under: uncultured eukaryote
Lineage: Eukaryota
Description: partial small subunit ribosomal RNA
Source: RNAcentral
GUACACACCGCCCGUCACACCAUGGGAGUUGGCUUGACCCGAAGSCGGYGCGCUAACCUUCGGGAGGCAGCCGACCACGGUCAGGUCAGYGACUGGGGURAAGUCGUAACAAGGUAGCCGUAGGUGAACCUGCAGAAGGAUCA